RNAcentral lists this ribosomal RNA (500 nucleotides) under uncultured bacterium. RNAcentral's name for it is "partial 16S ribosomal RNA". It matches the Rfam family "Bacterial small subunit ribosomal RNA", at positions 30 to 523 of the family's 1533-position model. The record is from RNAcentral.
AUUGAACGCUGGCGGCAUGCCUUACACAUGCAAGUCGAACGGCAGCGCGGGCUUCGGCCUGGCGGCGAGUGGCGAACGGGUGAGUAAUACAUCGGAACGUGCCCUAGAGUGGGGGAUAACUAGUCGAAAGAUUAGCUAAUACCGCAUACGAUCUCAGGAUGAAAGUGGGGGACCGCAAGGCCUCAUGCUCCUGGAGCGGCCGAUGUCUGAUUAGCUUGUUGGUGGGGUAACGGCCCACCAAGGCGACGAUCAGUAGCUGGUCUGAGAGGACGACCAGCCACACUGGGACUGAGACACGGCCCAGACUCCUACGGGAGGCAGCAGUGGGGAAUUUUGGACAAUGGGGGAAACCCUGAUCCAGCAAUGCCGCGUGUGUGAAGAAGGCCUUCGGGUUGUAAAGCACUUUUGUCAGGAACGAAACGGUGGGGGCUAAUACCUUCUGCUAAUGACGGUACCUGAAGAAUAAGCACCGGCUAACUACGUGCCAGCCGCCGCCGUAA